Myotis lucifugus (little brown bat) is the source of this 75-nucleotide non-coding RNA. Lineage: Eukaryota; Metazoa; Chordata; Mammalia; Chiroptera; Vespertilionidae. The record is from Rfam.
GGCAGUUCUCAGGUGACACACCCCAGAAAUGGGCUCCCUCCUCUCUGGUUCUGGGUGCAUCACCCAAGAAUCUCA